GUACCCAUAGUUUAAUGGUAAAACUUCUCUUUGUGGAGGAGAAAAUGAGAGUUCGAUUCUCUCUGGGUACCCA
This 73-nucleotide transfer RNA is filed under the name Parcubacteria group bacterium. Its description in RNAcentral is "tRNA-His". It matches the Rfam family "tRNA". Rfam says of the family: Transfer RNA (tRNA) molecules are approximately 80 nucleotides in length. Their secondary structure includes four short double-helical elements and three loops (D, anti-codon, and T loops). The record is from RNAcentral.